UUUCCGUAGGUGAACCUGCGGAUGGAUCAUUAACGCACAAAAUGUGAGGGGCACGCGAGGGCUGUCGCUGACCCUCAAGUCGUGCACUCACGAGUGCGCCCUCUUGCAAAAUAAUCCCUCCCACCCUUUGUGCAUCACCGCGAGGGCACCCUUCGGGAUCAUCUCGGAGGGGGGCUCGCGUUAUCACACAAAUCCGCCGUUUAAUAGUGUAGAUUGACAACAUUUAUGCUAACCAUACAUCUUUCAACAACGGAUCUCUUGGUUAUCGCAACGAUGAAA
This 279-nucleotide unclassified non-coding RNA is filed under the name plant metagenome. Its description in RNAcentral is "partial contains small subunit ribosomal RNA, internal transcribed spacer 1, and 5.8S ribosomal RNA". The record is from RNAcentral.